GGCAUCUCGCUGUCUGCGCUGGGCACGGAGCGGCGCGCGCGCGCCCGUCUUUCCCUCGGCGGCCCCCGCGGCUCGGACCCGGGCCGGCAGACAGGCCAUCCAUCAUCCGCCCUCCUCCCGCGGAGCGCCGCAGCCGCCGCGGCCAAUCCGGCGGCAGGUGGGGCCGCACCUGCGCGACAGCCCGCCGCUUCCCUCCGCUCCCUUCGCCGCGCCUCGCGUGCUAGCGGUGCCCUUGUGAGCCACUGCGUUCUCCAAGGCCAGAACGGGACAGUUGACGAUGGUCGUACUUCUCCAUGUUCUGAGACCAGUUUAAACAAAAACAAAAACCAGACAACAACCUUGCAAGGGAAAGAAUUCAGAGUAAAUAAACAGUCUUUUUCUGGGAAGUAAAAUAUUUCCCUAAGAUGGAGAAAUUGAGAUGAGAGCUCAUCCACAAGAUUACCCAUCAAUGAGCACCAAUAGCAACCAAAUCCACUAGAAGACUGGGAGCUUUUAAGUCAAGAAACUUACAUCAGUAUCAUCAUUCCAAGAAGCGGUAUCCAAGCUGUUUUAUCGAAAGUGCGCAUGGGAGGGAUCUCAUCAGAGAGAGAGACAUCUUCGCCACUGCCAUGAAGUUUCAAGUACAGAACUCUUCCUCGUAAUCAAACUAUUUCUAUGAACAAUUCACUCAUCAUUGUGGGAAAGUCUAUUUUUCAUCUUAACACACAAACAGACAAUAACAAAAUUUGUGAUUUGGAUAAUCUGGAUCUGAUGUUCAUGCUCAAAAUGGAGGCAAUUCGUAAUACUGGUCUGAAGCAUUUAGUCAUUCACUGAGCAGAUACGUUAGGAGCAACAGGCAUGGGCUGUGUUUUUCUAGGCACUGUGAACACAGCAGUCAACGAAGUCAAAAACCUGUGCUCUUAAGGGACAUGAAUUGCCAAAUGGAAACACUAAGUUUUUCUAUUUAUGACCUAAAGCUAGUCAAAUAUCUCCAGAAGUAAGGUAGCUGAGUGAAGUGGUUCAUAAUCUUUCCAUGGGAGCCAAAUCCUCGGUGCUGUGACUCUUUUAGAUAAAUGAUAGUAAAAAUGAAUCAAAAGUUAAUUAGCUUGCACCUCAAUAAUCCAGUCUCCAUCACUGAUGGUCAUCGUGGAAUCUGCGUACAGAGGCAGCUGUAUACAGAUGACAGAGACAGCUCUAACACGUGACACAUUUAAGCACACAGAGGCGGAAGGACAUAAAGUUCCUGGUUGAUUUCCCUUUGGUGUUUGUGGGGAAAUAUCAAGGUCAUAAAAAGUCAGUUUCUAAUAAUCCCUCCAGUCCUCCAUUCCAUUCCCUAAUUUGUAUGCAAUGGCAUUUAACAUUUUGACUUUGCUUAAAAUAAAAUGUGUGUUUGUUUUAAAA
Molecule: long non-coding RNA, 1380 nt
Organism: Homo sapiens (human)
Lineage: Eukaryota; Metazoa; Chordata; Mammalia; Primates; Hominidae
Gene: LETR1
Product: lymphatic endothelial transcriptional regulator lncRNA 1
Exons: 4
Source: RefSeq, marked predicted